Molecule: ribosomal RNA, 513 nt
Filed under: uncultured bacterium
Lineage: Bacteria
Description: partial 16S ribosomal RNA
Rfam family: Bacterial small subunit ribosomal RNA
Source: RNAcentral
AUUGAACGCUGGCGGCAUGCCUAACAUAUGCAAGUCGAACGGCAGCACAGUAAAGAUUUCGGUCUUUAUGGGUGGCGAGUGGCGGACGGGUGAGUAAUGCGUAGGAAUCUGUCCUGGAGAGUAGGAUAACCCGAGGGAACUCGGGCUAAUACUGCAUGAUAUCGAGAGAUCAAAGGCAGGGGACCCUUCGGGGCCUUGCGCUCUAGGAUGAGCCUACGUCGGAUUAGCUAGUUGGUGGGGUAAAGGCCUACCAAGGCGACGAUCCGUAGCUGGUCUGAGAGGAUGACCAGCCACACUGGGACUGAGCAACGGCCCAGGCUCCUACGGGAGGCAGCAGUGGGGAAUCUUGGACAAUGGGGGAAACCCUGAUCCAGCGAUGCCGCGUGUGUGAAGAAGGCCUUCGGGUUGUAAAGCACUUUAGUUGGGGAAGAAAAGUAAUGAGUGAAUAACUGAUUGCCCUGACGGUACCCAAAGAAUAAGCACCGGCUAACUCUGUGCCAGCCGCCGCCGUAA